Molecule: ribosomal RNA, 446 nt
Filed under: uncultured bacterium
Lineage: Bacteria
Description: partial 16S ribosomal RNA
Rfam family: Bacterial small subunit ribosomal RNA
Source: RNAcentral
CCUACGGGAGGCAGCAGUCGAGAAUCAUUCACAAUGGGGGAAACCCUGAUGGUGCGACGCCGCGUGGGGGAAUGAAGGUCUUCGGAUUGUAAACCCCUGUCAUGUGGGAGCAAAUUAAAAAGAUAGUACCACAAGAGGAAGAGACGGCUAACUCUGUGCCAGCAGCCGCGUUAAUACAGAGGUCUCAAGCGUUGUUCGGAAUCACUGGGCGUAAGGCGUGCGUAGGCUGUUUCGUAACUCGUCUGUGAAAGGCGCGGGCUCAACCCGCGGACGGCACAUGAUACUGCGAGACUAGAGUAAUGGAGGGGGAACCGGAAUUCUCGGUGUAGCAGUGAAAUGCGUAGAUAUCGAGAGGAACACUCGUGGCGAAGGCGGGUUACUGGACAUUAACUGACGCUGAGGCACGAAGGCCAGGGGAGCGAAAGGGAUUAGAUACCCUGGUAGUC